AUGGCUGAGCAGUUUCCUCGUCUUUUCUCUAUUUGCAAUUAUCCUGAGUGCACUAUUGAUAAAUGCUUAAAUGUUGAUCCCUCCUCAUUCUUUAGGAGAAGGUUGAAUAGUGAGCUUAAUGACCAGUGGGUUGUUGUGAGUAAAUUGGCUAGAGAAGCAUGUGUUUCAGACGCUGCUGAUGUGAUCAAAUGGGGCUUGGGUGGGAAAACCUCUUUUACCACCAAAUCUGUUUAUUUGUUCCUGGAAAAGAAUGUUGCUGGAUGCGAUUAUAGAUGGAUCUGGAGUGCCAGAAUCCCUCUCAAAAUUCAAAUAUUCUUGUGGCAACUUUUUCAGGAUGCUGUCCUGACUAGGGAUGUGAUGAAACACCGAGGGUGGAAAGGGAACCCAAAGUGUUCUUUUUGCGGAGGGAGAGAAACCGCACAGCACCUGUUCUUUGCUUGCCCUGUUGCCAGGGUAACCUGGAGGAUAGUGGCAUGUAUGUUUGGCACUGCUUUGUGCCCUGAUAUUAUUUGGCAAGCUUAUUCAUGGUGUUAUACGUUCUUCCCUGGAGGGGAAAAGUUUUAUACGGCAGGGAUUGCUGCUAUGUGCUGGGUAAUCUGGUCGUGUCGUAACAGGGUUACUUUUGAGUUUAAACCGCUUACAAACCCAUUUGAAUGUAUAUUCUUUGUCUGUGCUUUAAUUUGCUACUGGGCAGGAAUGGUGAAGCAAGAGGAUGUAGUUACCAUGAGGGACGGGGCGAAGAUGCUGAAGGAGAAUGCAUCGAUGAUGAUGAGGAUCUGUGCUGCAAACCACAAAGAGGCGUCCCGUUGA
RNAcentral lists this ribosomal RNA (810 nucleotides) under Triticum aestivum (bread wheat). RNAcentral describes it as "partial small subunit ribosomal RNA". Lineage: Eukaryota; Viridiplantae; Streptophyta; Magnoliopsida; Poales; Poaceae. The record is from RNAcentral.